Small nuclear RNA from Syngnathoides biaculeatus (alligator pipefish), 128 nucleotides. RefSeq annotates it as U4atac minor spliceosomal RNA. Lineage: Eukaryota; Metazoa; Chordata; Actinopteri; Syngnathiformes; Syngnathidae. The record is from RefSeq and is a predicted model, not a curated record. The transcript has a single exon.
UCCGUCCUCGUCAUGGGGUGAUUGGGACACUCAAUGAGCGUGUAGCGAGAGUAUCCCUGCUGACACCAUAUCAACACACUCGCACCGCCCGGAUCACUGACCCGGAUAACGGUGCAAUUUUUGGAAAC